Molecule: ribosomal RNA, 401 nt
Filed under: uncultured prokaryote
Description: bacterial SSU rRNA
Rfam family: Bacterial small subunit ribosomal RNA
Source: RNAcentral
UAGGGAAUAUUAGAAAUGGACGAAAGUCUGAUCUAGCAACACCGCGUGUGCGAAGAAGGCCUUCGGGUUGUAAAGCACUUUUGGACGGAUUAGGAAGGAAUGUACUUCCAGAAUAAGUCUCGGCUAACUACGUGCCAGCAGCCGCGGUAACACGUAGGAGGCAAACGUUAUCCGGAUUUACUGGGCGUAAAGCGCGUGUAGGUGGUUCUGUAAGUAGGGCGUGAAAGCUCCUGGCUCAACUGGGAGAGGCCGUUCUAAACUGCAGAGCUAGAGGAUGGUAGAGGGAUGUGGAAUUCCGGGUGUAGCGGUGGAAUGCGCAGAUAUCCGGAGGAACACCAGUGGCGAAAGCGGCCUCCUGGACCAUUCCUGACACUCAGACGCGAAAGCUAGGGUAGCAAACG